Molecule: long non-coding RNA, 822 nt
Filed under: Zea mays
Lineage: Eukaryota; Viridiplantae; Streptophyta; Magnoliopsida; Poales; Poaceae
Description: drought responsive lncRNA
Source: RNAcentral
UGGCAAUUCGAUGGGUUCGGACCGUGGAUGGAUGAUUCCCUUCGUAGUCAGAAAUAUCUCCUCAGCCCAUGAACCUUUGCUUGUUUACGGAAAAAGGAAGUGCAUGGGCAGGCCCAAUAGCGAUAUAUACUUUUGGCACGUUUUACGUCUACAAUGCAAGCACCUGUAAUCGGUCCCCUUUUAGAGCAACUCCAGUAGUUCUUUAAAAGACUUUCUAAAUCAAUAAUUUAGUUAGUUAACAUAAAAAUUAUUCUCCAACAGUUUCUAAAUAAACUUUCUAAAUUUAACAACUUGUCAUCUAACCUUAUUUUCUCUCUACAUUUGGCAACCAUUUAACAACUCGCUAAAUAAAAAUGUUGACUGCAUUAUAUAGUUUUUGUGACUUAUUUUUUAUGUGGAUAAAUACAAAACAAAAUUACAACCUAUAUUUAGAGAACUAUUGGAGAACUCACAUUUUUUACUCUAAAAGCUAUUUAGCAACUUUUUAAAUCUGUGAUUUAGAGAGCUAAAAUUUAUAUAAAUAUUGUAUUUGCUCUUAGGGACUGGGCGGUAGGCCAGUUGGUUCCUUUGCCGUUUGUGUGAGCGGCCGAGCGUGGGUUUAGGGUUUAUAUUUAAGCUUAGAAAGUAGAUACGUAAGCUUAGACGGAGGGACUACAAUAUAGCAAAGUAGAUAUAUGUAAGCUUAGAAACAUUUUAUUAUAAAUGGGAACCUAGCUAGCUAGCCUAUGCACAAGAGUCUUUGGCACACAUAUGGUACACAUGAACUAACAAAUUUUACAAAAAAAUUCUGAAAAAAAUUCAUACAUAUUUUUUCCAUCCUAC